RNAcentral lists this transfer RNA (65 nucleotides) under Sicyonia lancifer. RNAcentral's name for it is "tRNA-Leu". The record is from RNAcentral. Lineage: Eukaryota; Metazoa; Arthropoda; Malacostraca; Decapoda; Sicyoniidae.
UCUAAAAUGGCAGAUAGAUGCAUAGGAUUUAAGCUCCUACCAGGAAGAUUGAUCUUCUUUUAGAA